UACGUAGGGUGCAAGCGUUGUCCGGAAUUAUUGGGCUUAAAGAGCUCGUAGGCGGUCUGUCGCGUCGGCUGUGAAAACCCGGGGCUCAACCCCGGGCCUGCAGUCGAUACGGGCAGACUAGAGUGCGGUAGGGGAGACUGGAAUUCCUGGUGUAGCGGUGAAAUGCGCAGAUAUCAGGAGGAACACCGGUGGCGAAGGCGGGUCUCUGGGCCGAUACUGACGCUGAGGAGCGAAAGCGUGGGGAGCGAACAGG
This 253-nucleotide ribosomal RNA is filed under the name uncultured bacterium. Its description in RNAcentral is "partial 16S ribosomal RNA". It matches the Rfam family "Bacterial small subunit ribosomal RNA", at positions 524 to 776 of the family's 1533-position model. The record is from RNAcentral.